GAAUAUUUGCAGCUUUUCCAUCUUUUUCUGACUGCGUUCAGUUCAGAUGAUCUUUUAGUUCCUUCCUGCAGAGAUCUGAACUUUCCACCAUGAUUCCUGUCUGAUUCCAGCAGAGCAGCAACACAGAUGAUGGUUUAAAGACAAACUGAAGCAGAUGCAGACAGGAAGGAUUGAUGGCUGCAGUUAGUUGGUGUGGACAGCAGGUGGCGCUGCUGCAUGGCACACAGAGGGAGAGCAGCAGCUUCCUGCAGGGACACAUGAAGAGCAGCAUGAAGCUGAGCUGGGAGACAUGAAGCUUUAACAUCUGCUGAACUCUUCAGCUCCUCUUUCCCUCAGAUCUGCCCUGAAGCAGCUUUAAGGUGGAAAACUGCUGCAGCUGGAGGAGAUUCAGCAAAACCAACAUGUUGCUUUGCUUUCUGUCCCAGAAGCUCCAGAGGAGGCUUGGCAGCAUGAAGGUCACCCAGAGAAGAAGCAGCAGCCGUGGUUCUGUUAUGGAUCAAGGUACCGUGGUCCAUGAAAGGCUCAUUAAAACAGAACCUUAGAAACUAGAGAAUGGGCUUUUACUGCAGAAAAGUUUACAGUCCUAACAGAGUUUCAUUUAAAGACGUUUUGGUUCCAGGUGGUUCUGUAGGAGUCGGACCCUGGAGCGGGCUCAGGAACCCGACUGCAGGUUGAGGUUGUUCAGUAGAAUCCAGUUUCUACCAAUGAGUUCUGUGGUGCUGCUCGGUUGGCCUUUAACUUUUUAAUCUAUAAACCUUAACAAGGAUCAGAUCUGCGGUGAGUCUGGACUGAGAUCUUGGAGAACGGUGGAAAUGCUGAGGUGAAACCAGAACAUGUUUUAAAAAACAUGCUUGCGGCUGUAGAACAUUGUAAUUCAUGUGAAUAAAUGAAUAUAUUAGUAUUUUUUACAUCAACUCAUAAGUUAUCCGAAACUUUGCUGGAGCGCACUGUUAAAGUACUUUGGAGGCAAAGAAUCAGCCCAGUGCCAAUCCACAUCUCUAUCCUCUACAGAGCUCACACCCUGUCCUGUGUCCACUGUCCCCUCCAUGACUGCAACCACAGUUGAUCUACCUGCAUCCUCCACCACAACGUCCACUUCUCACAGCGGAUCAUCAUCAGCUCCACCAGCUGACCCAGCUUAGUGACCUUCUUUUCUCUCUGAUUGAGCUGGUGAUCAGAGGAACCUGCCUAUCAAGGAGAACUUUUCAUUCCUUUAAAAGGGUCUUCUGGUCUGAGAACCAGGAUCUCUGGCUUUGAGGAGCAGAGUCUCCUCCACUGCUGCAGCACCAGAACCAUUUUAUCUGCAGGACGCAGGAAACUGGAGCAAUAAAAAGGUUAGAUGGUUAAACGGCUGCAGAAGCUGCUUCUGCUGCCUGAAUCCUUCCUUCCUGCUGUGGCCUGAACCUUCAGCAGCAGAUGUUGGGCUGCGGUUCUUUUUCUUCUCAGGGAGAGUUUGAGGAGCAGAGAACCAGGCUGGAAGCUGCUUCUGCCUCACAGAAGAGGACAAGUUCAACCACGGCUGAAGUUACUGAAGCUAAAUCUUUAUGUGGACUUUAGAAAAUGUUUUCCUGAAGCAGAACACUGCGAUAGACUGGCCACCUGUCCAGGGCGUACCACGCCUCUCACCCAUUGACAGCUGGAGAUAG
Fundulus heteroclitus (mummichog) is the source of this 1646-nucleotide long non-coding RNA. RefSeq lists it as uncharacterized. Lineage: Eukaryota; Metazoa; Chordata; Actinopteri; Cyprinodontiformes; Fundulidae. The record is from RefSeq and is a predicted model, not a curated record. The transcript is spliced from 3 exons.